Molecule: unclassified non-coding RNA, 278 nt
Filed under: Hyaloscyphaceae sp.
Lineage: Eukaryota; Fungi; Ascomycota; Leotiomycetes; Helotiales; Hyaloscyphaceae
Description: partial contains 5.8S ribosomal RNA, internal transcribed spacer 2, and large subunit ribosomal RNA
Rfam family: 5.8S ribosomal RNA (bases 1-71)
Source: RNAcentral
GUGAAUCAUCGAAUCUUUGAACGCACAUUGCGCCCCUUGGUAUUCCGAGGGGCAUGCCUGUUCGAGCGUCAUUACAACCCUCAAGCACUGCUUGGUGUUGGGCUCCGCUGGUAACGGCGGGCCUUAAAAUCAGUGGCGGUGCCGUCGGGCCCUGAGCGUAGUAAAUCUCCUCGCUACAGGGUCCCGGUGGACGCUGGCCAUCAACCCCCACUCUUUAAGUUUGACCUCGGAUCAGGUAGGGAUACCCGCUGAACUUAAGCAUAUCAAUAAGCGGAGGA